AACGAUUUCAACAUGGGCCGUUGAGAUGUAUGUAGAUCUAUAUAAAAGAAACAUUUCAGAAUCCUGAGGGCGAUACUUAGUGUCACCAACAUCGAAGAGUGUGUAUCUGUUAUUGACUUGAGUGGAUAUUAAUUCCAAAUUAACCAAGAUCAUCGCGCAAAACAGAAAUAUAUAAAAAAUAAGGUCUGUCUUCGAUACAUCUCAUUUAUAUAUCAAGUUGUAUUUCAAAGGAUCAAAGGGAUAGAAUGGCCUGGACAUUCUUUGGGUUACUCACUUUAUGCUUCUUGACUUCUGCAGCUCGAGCAGAGCUUUCAGAAGAGGCUAAAAUUGGAUUAGGCGUCGGUUUGGGAGUAGGAGUGCCAGUUGUAGUCGCUAUAGUUGUGGUCAUAUAUUGCUGCUGCUGUGGGAGGUAUAGCGAAGCACACAACCAAAAGAGAAGCAUGUGUUGUAACCAGAGCUAGCAGAAUUAAAAUGUUACAAUGACA
Molecule: long non-coding RNA, 485 nt
Organism: Biomphalaria glabrata
Lineage: Eukaryota; Metazoa; Mollusca; Gastropoda; Planorbidae
Exons: 3
Source: RefSeq, a predicted model, not a curated record